This 886-nucleotide ribosomal RNA is filed under the name Lepiota spiculata. RNAcentral's name for it is "partial large subunit ribosomal RNA". It matches the Rfam family "Eukaryotic large subunit ribosomal RNA", at positions 92 to 964 of the family's 3401-position model. Lineage: Eukaryota; Fungi; Basidiomycota; Agaricomycetes; Agaricales; Agaricaceae. The record is from RNAcentral.
AGUGAAGCGGGAAAAGCUCAAAUUUAAAAUCUGGCAGUUGUUGACUGUCCGAGUUGUAAUCUAGAGAAGUGUUACCCGCGCUGGACCGUGUACAAGUCUCCUGGAAUGGAGCGUCAUAGAGGGUGAGAAUCCCGUCUCUGACACGGACUCCCAGGGCUUUUGUGGUAUGCUCUCAAAGAGUCGAGUUGUUUGGGAAUGCAGCUCAAAAUGGGUGGUAAAUUCCAUCUAAAGCUAAAUAUUGGCGAGAGACCGAUAGCGAACAAGUACCGUGAGGGAAAGAUGAAAAGAACUUUGGAAAGAGAGUUAAACAGUACGUGAAAUUGCUGAAAGGGAAACGCUUGAAGUCAGUCAUAUUGGCCAGAGCUCAGCCUUGCAAUUGCAUGGUGUACUUUCUGGUCAAUGGGUCAGCAUCAAUUUUGACUGCUGGAAAAAGGCUUAGGGAAUGUGGCAGCUUAUGCUGUGUUAUAGCCCCUUGUCACAUACAGCAGUUGGGAUUGAGGAACUCAGCACGCCGCAAGGCCGGGUUUUGACCACGUUCGUGCUUAGGAUGCUGGCAAAAUGGCUUUAAGCGACCCGUCUUGAAACACGGACCAAGGAGUCUAACAUGCCUGCAAGUGUUUGGGUGGAAAACCCGAGUGCGUAAUGAAAGUGAAAGUUGAGAUCCCUGUCAUGGGGAGCAUUGACGCCCGGACCAGAACUUUUGGGACGGAUCCGCGGUAGAGCAUGUAUGUUGGGACCCGAAAGAUGGUGAACUAUGCCUGAAUAGGGUGAAGCCAGAGGAAACUCUGGUGGAGGCUCGUAGCGAUUCUGACGUGCAAAUCGAUCGUCAAAUUUGGGUAUAGGGGCGAAAGACUAAUCGAACCAUCUAGUAGCUGGUUCCUGCCGA